This 2027-nucleotide long non-coding RNA is filed under the name Piliocolobus tephrosceles (Ugandan red Colobus). Its description in RNAcentral is "lncRNA (ENSPTEG00000005694.1)". The record is from RNAcentral. Lineage: Eukaryota; Metazoa; Chordata; Mammalia; Primates; Cercopithecidae.
AUGAAUCCGAUACAUUUAAAAACCAAAAAAAAAAACGUUAGGGGUCAUAAUAACCCUUAUUCUUUACAUUUGAAUAAUGAAAAAAUAAAAUAUAUAGAUAUAAUAAGUUAUUAUAUGUAUUUAUUAUCACCUUUUAAUAAAUUUCAUGAUUUAAAUAAAAAAGAAAGUGUAGAAAAUGGAGAACAAUUAAAUACGAUAAGAGAAAAGUUGGAUAAUAUUUUAUUAAAAUAUGAUGAUAUUAUUACUGAUAUAAUUGAAAAAAAUAAUAUAAAAGAAGUAACAGAAAAGUUAUUUUCAAAUGUAGAAAACGGUACGGAUAUAAAUAAUAUGGAUAAUAGUCAAAUAAGUAAUAAUAAAAAUAUGAGCAGUAAUAACAGCAUAAAACAAAAUACAUAUCACAAUAAUUAUAAUUUAAAUUUUGAUAAAAUAAAUAAUCCCGUCAAUGGUCUAAUUUUAAAAAAUGAAGACCUUCUCAUAAAUGGAAAUAGUACUACCCGAUUGGAACGAAUUUAUGAAAAUAAUAAAAACCAGAAUCAGAACCUGGCACAGAGCCAGAAUCAGAAUCAGAAUCAGAAUCAGAAUCAGAAUCAGAACCAUAAUCAGAUACAGAUACAGAAUCAUAACCAUGAUCAGAUACAGAAUAAGAACCAGAAUAAGAAUCAGAAUCAGAAUCAGAAUCAGAAUCAGAAUCAGAAUCAGAAUCAGAAUCAGAAUCAGAAUCAGAAUCAGAAUCAUAAUCAGAUACAGAAUCAGAACCAUAAUCAGAUACAGAAUCAGAACCAUAAUCAGAUACAGAUACAGAAUCAUAACAAUAAUCAGAUACAGAAUAAGAACCAGAAUAAGAACCAGAACCAGAACCAGAACCAGAAUCAGAAUCAGAAUCAGAACCAGAAUCAGAAUCAUAAUCGAAAUGAUUAUAAAAAUAAUGAUUUAGAAUAUGGUCACUGUUUAGAUGAGUUAAAAGAUUCUUUAACAAAUAUUAGAGUCAUUGGCUCACAUAAUGACUCUAAUGGUAGCACACCUUUUUUUAACAAUUCUACACAUCCAUACACAGAAAAAAAUAUUUUAUACUACAAUAAUAGUUACCAAAACAAUAAUAAUUUAAAAUUUAAACAUAAUUAUUUACUUAAUAAUGAAUUGAAUGAUAAUUAUUAUUUAUAUAAUAUAUUACCAUAUAAAUAUUUAAAUGAUGAUAAAACUAAAUAUAUUUAUAAUAAAGAUAAAAAUAAUAACAGUAUAAUAACAUGUGAUAACAGAGAUGAUAAUAAAAAUUUGAUUUGUGAAAAUAUAUCAAGUGGUAGAUAUAUAAAUGAUCGAAAUAUAAAUGAUCGAUUUAUAAAUGAUCGAUAUACAGAAUGUAAUGGUACACAUAAUUUAAUAUGUGAGAAUAACUCUUUAAAAAGAACAAACACAAAUAAUAAUAUUAUUUUUUAUAUAAAUAAUAAAAAUAAUGUUGAAAAUGAUUCUACUUACCUUAUUUUAAAUAAUACAGAUAUAACACAAAAAAAAAAAUAUAAUACUAAUACACUUUUUACUAAUUACAAAGAAACGUUUAAUGACACAAAUAGAAUAAACGAUUUUAGUGAUAAUAACAAUGUAUUAUUUUAUACAAAUAAUGAAAUGAUGAAUAACAUACGUAUGUAUGAGCCUAUUAUUUUAAAUAGAAAAAAUAUGGAUAAACAAAAAGAAACAUAUACACACAUAGAUGAAUCUUUUAAUCAAGUAUCUUAUUUAAAUAAUAAUAAUAAUUUAAUACAAAUUGAUAAACAACGAAUGAAUUAUGAAAUACCAUGUGAAAAUAAUAAACAUAUCGAAAAAAAACACUCUUUUUUAAAUAGUAGUAUUACAACAGAACAUAUGAAUAAUAUUGGAUGUAGUAAUAAUAUGUUUAAUAAUAACAAUGAAAUAUUCAAUAAUAACGGUGAAGGUUAUAAAAAAGGAGAAACAACUGGCGGUAGUUGUGGUGAUGGUAAUGAUGAUAAUGGUAGUGGUGGUGGUAGUGGUAAUGGUAAUGGUAAUGAUAGUGG